RNAcentral lists this long non-coding RNA (2122 nucleotides) under Daphnia pulex (common water flea). RNAcentral's name for it is "uncharacterized LOC124199987". The record is from RNAcentral. Lineage: Eukaryota; Metazoa; Arthropoda; Branchiopoda; Diplostraca; Daphniidae.
AAAAUUUCUUUCCUUUUUUAUCUUUCCCCUUUUGGGUAGAAAAAGAAAAGAGGAGGAAGCGACGGGUGCUGAACUUCGGCGAUGCGCAGCGGAGCAGUCGUGGUUUCAAUCGCUUUGGGAAGAGAGAAAGACUCGCUCGUUCGGUUUCUUUCCGGUUUGCUGAGAGAGAAAGUCAGCGAAAAACAACAAAACAAAACGCAACCAAACGUUUUCUAAUAACUUUUACACACACAUCCGACGACGACGACGCCUUUACCCGAGUCACUUGGACCGAACAACAAACAAAAGUGAGUCUCCGCUACCGACGGCAACCGAUUGAAAUUCCGGGGGCGUCUGUGUGGCUGCAGAACCCACACACACAAAAAAAUUUCCAGGGCGUUCAUCCACCAGCCACCUCGACCGUUUUUUCCUAAUACGAAAACCGCAAAACCGAGCGAUUCCCAACAACGACAACAACAACAAACAGCUACAACCUCCUGCUUGUUAUUGAGUUUAAAUAGGAAAAAAAAAAUUGAGGGGGGUAGCUGAAAACAGACACAAAAUAUCACACACGAUAGCAAAAUAAGACGGUCAAAUAUAACCAGAUUCUCAUUUUCUAUCACAACAUCCAAUUGUAAUUGUAACAACAACCCAAGUGUCCCCGUCGCACCGAGGGCCCUUAUAAGAAAAAAAGGGUACGAACAGAUAUUCGAUAAGAUGAGAAGCUCUUAAAAGAGUAAACGUCCAUAUCCGAAGAUACGUAUGGCGUAAGAAAGAAAAAAGGGUCUAAACUCUCCGUCAAUAAAAUUACAAAAAAAGAGGAUUUUUCGAGAGAGAAAGGGUCCGACGAAAUAAAAACAUGAGAAAAGGUAGUCGAAUGGAGUCAUAAAAAUUGAGGGGGAAAAAGAAGAAACUUUUUUUUUCUUUCGAUAGAUCGGGGGCCUAUUACCAUGGCUACCGCUUCUUCUUAUAUUUUUAUACUCUGGGGUUUUCGUUUUGAUAUAUAAAAUAAAGAGCUCCGACCAGACCGAGCAUCAGUUGGUAUUUCGGAUCUGACUAAAUCAGACCCCUCAAUCAUCUCAUCUACAUUCGAAAGCCCCACAAAAAAAAACAGUUUCGCGAUAGAUUUUUUUUGUUUUACAAAAAUGUUAAUUUCCUUUCGAUCAAAUCUGUAAAGAAAAAACCGUGUCCGACCCACUUGACGUCACGACCUUAAAAACAGCGCCGCCGCCAUCGUUCCUGCAGCAGCACAAAGUGAAACACCAUUGGGAGCAGCUGCGCCUUCUUUGUGCCAUUGUUGUCAACUCGCUCACCAAUCUUCUUCUUCUUCUUCUGCCUCACCCCGUAGUUAGACUAAUAGCUAAAAUGUAAUAUGUGUACACAGCAAGGCUAGACUGCCAGGCAACUGGCGGGUCACGCAAUCAAGCCCAUGUCGCCCAAAGCGUCCCGACCGACCGACAGAGAGAGAGGACAACUUAUACGACCAUUUCUCUCUCUCUCUCUCUCUUUGCUAUAUUAAAACCCGUCCGCUUGUUCUGCUCGUGUAUUUGGUGUUUGUAAUCCCGACGGAUUCGAGGUUGCAUGUACACAUGUUGUAUAGAUCUGUUAUUAGGGAAACAGAAAGAGAGGGGGACACAUAAUCCAAUUUGGCGGAGCGACAUCACGCGUUCAUUUGUCAAAAAGAAAAAGAAAAAUGUUUACCAAACACCCAGAAAAUCACGAAAUUAAUUCUCGGUGCCUGGGUGGUACCAUAUUUCAUGUAGUCUACAGCAUGUGUUUCAGUCUCAUUUCUUUUCUUUCUUUUUUUUUUCUCUCAGUGUAUUGAUUUUUCUCACCAGACCGCACGAAUUGUAAAAAAAGAAAAAGAAAGAAAAAUGGCAACCGACACACGCAGCCACACACGCUUUUGGGCCGUCUCUCCUUUUUUUUCUCUCCUCUUUUAUAGGCCAGCGAUACAAACCCACACACACAUAUCCAGAAGCGGCACAUAUCAAGUACGAAAGAGAAGGAAGGAAGGAGGCGACCCCUAUGUGUGCCCGAUACGAACGCACAUUGGGUGGCAGUCAGCCGAAGCGGACGGAUGGACACAAAUGAUGAUGGCGUCGCCAGCGGAACAAGCCGGAAGAGGAACAACAACAACAAC